Molecule: ribosomal RNA, 282 nt
Filed under: uncultured prokaryote
Description: partial 16S ribosomal RNA
Rfam family: Bacterial small subunit ribosomal RNA
Source: RNAcentral
UACGUAGGGGGCGAGCGUUAUCCGGAAUUAUUGGGCGUAAAGCGUGCGCAGGCGGCGCGUUCUGCCCGGCGUGAAAGCCCCCGGCUCAACCGGGGAGGGUCGUCGGGGACGGGCGCGCUUGAGGGUAUCAGGGGCUGGUGGAAUUCCCGGUGUAGUGGUGAAAUGCGUAGAGAUCGGGAGGAACACCUGUGGCUAAGGCGGCCAGCUGGGAUACACCUGACGCUGAGAUGCGAAAGCGUGGGGAGCAAACAGGAUUAGAUACCUCCGUAGUCCCUGAGCGGG